UACAUAGAUAACCUACCUCUGAGAUGGGGAUAACAACGUCCUGGGGCAACUCAGGACUACCGAAAGGGUUGCUAAUACCCAGUAAUGUCAGUGAACCGCAUGUUUUGCUGACCAAAGGGGGCCCGCAAGGGUCUUGCUUAGAGAGGGGUCUAUGUCCUAUCAGCUUGUUGGUAGGGUAACGGCCUACCAAGGCAAUGACGGGUAGCCGGCCUGAGAGGGUGGUCGGCCACAUUGGGACUGAGACACUGCCCAGACUCCUACGGGAGGCUGCAGUCGAGGAUCUUUCGCAAUGCCCGAAAGGGUGACGAAGCGACGCCGCGUGUGGGAAGAAGGCCUUCGGGUUGUAAACCGCUGUUAGGAGUUAAGAAAUGUAAGGGUGCUCAUACCAUCCUUAUUUGACAAAAGCUCCAGAGGAAGUCACGGCUAACUCUGUGCCAGCAGCCGCGGUAAGACAGAGGUGGCAAGCGUUGUUCGGAAUCAUUGGGCGUAAAGAGCACGUAGGCGGUCUUGCAAGUCUGGUGUGAAAGCCCCUGGCUUAACCAGGGAAUUGCAUUAGAUACUACAAGACUUGAGUACAGUAGGGGAGAGCGGAACUUUUAGUGGAGCGGUGAAAUGCGUAGAUAUUAAAAGGAACGCCGGCGGCGAAGGCGGCUCUCUAGGCUGUAACUGACGCUGAGUGUGCGAAAGCUAGGGGAGCAAACGGGAUUAGAUACCCCGGUAGUCCUAGCCGUAAACGAUGGGCACUA
RNAcentral lists this ribosomal RNA (746 nucleotides) under uncultured bacterium. Its description in RNAcentral is "bacterial SSU rRNA". It matches the Rfam family "Bacterial small subunit ribosomal RNA", at positions 114 to 818 of the family's 1533-position model. The record is from RNAcentral.